GUACUGGGUUCAGCAGUACCUACAUUAAAAUUAGAACGAUAAGGAGAGGUUAACACGGUCCCUGCUCAAGAAUGAAAUGGGAAUUCAUGAAGACUUCUGUAACUUA
Small nuclear RNA from Onychomys torridus (southern grasshopper mouse), 106 nucleotides. NCBI's taxonomy places the organism in Eukaryota, Metazoa, Chordata, Mammalia, Rodentia, Cricetidae. The record is from RefSeq and is a predicted model, not a curated record.